This 497-nucleotide ribosomal RNA is filed under the name uncultured bacterium. RNAcentral's name for it is "partial 16S ribosomal RNA". It matches the Rfam family "Bacterial small subunit ribosomal RNA", at positions 28 to 507 of the family's 1533-position model. The record is from RNAcentral.
GAUGAACGCUGGCGGCGUGCCUAAUACAUGCAAGUCGAGCGAACAGAUAAGGAGCUUGCUCCUUUGACGUUAGCGGCGGACGGGUGAGUAACACGUGGGUAACCUACCUAUAAGGCUGGAAUAACUCCGGGAAACCGGGGCUAAUGCCGGAUAACAUUUAGAACCGCAUGGUUCUAAAGUGAAAGAUGGUUUUGCUAUCACUUAUAGAUGGACCCGCGCCGUAUUAGCUAGUUGGUAAGGUAACGGCUUACCAAGGCAACGAUACGUAGCCGACCUGAGAGGGUGAUCGGCCACACUGGAACUGAGACACGGUCCAGACUCCUACGGGAGGCAGCAGUAGGGAAUCUUCCGCAAAGGGCGAAAGCCUGACGGAGCAACGCCGCGUGAGUGAUGAAGGUCUUCGGAUCGUAAAACUCUGUUAUUAGGGAAGAACAAAUGUGUAAGUAACUGUGCACGUCUUGACGGUACCUAAUCAGAAAGCCACGGCUAACUACGUG